Sebastes umbrosus (honeycomb rockfish) is the source of this 445-nucleotide long non-coding RNA. RefSeq lists it as uncharacterized. NCBI's taxonomy places the organism in Eukaryota, Metazoa, Chordata, Actinopteri, Perciformes, Sebastidae. The transcript is spliced from 3 exons. The record is from RefSeq and is a predicted model, not a curated record.
UGACCACGAGUAACUACACUUCUGUGUACAUUGAAGGUUUUAUUUUGAAGUGAUCCACCGGAAGUGUGAAUAUGCUAUAAUGUCUGCAUUGACGCUACUUUGACUAGUUUAUCAGUUCCUCUCUGUCGCCACUAGAGGGCAGCAAACACUCGUGAUUUCAACCUCCCAUGAAGGAAAUUUGAGGUGGAGGCUGCUGUACAUUCUCACGCUGUCUGAACGCGUCCUUCAUUCAUGUAGUGAUCUGUGUUCACUGGGUGGAGCUCCAGCUGUCAGAGGAUGGAGCAAAGACAAGGUGACCGGAAGUCCUGCUCCGAUCUUCCUGUCACCUCCUCCUCCUACUUGCACCCCCUCCAGCUCCUCAUCAGAGAAAGGGCUGUGGCGAUUGAAGCCAACGUCGGUGCUGCGCUGCAAGAAGUCUGUGGAUCGUGGCAUCCCAACAGGAAAA